RNAcentral lists this ribosomal RNA (503 nucleotides) under uncultured bacterium. Its description in RNAcentral is "partial 16S ribosomal RNA". It matches the Rfam family "Bacterial small subunit ribosomal RNA", at positions 28 to 523 of the family's 1533-position model. The record is from RNAcentral.
GAUAAACGCUAGCGGCAGGCUUAACACAUGCGAGUCGAGGGGCAGCAUAGAUUGUAGCAAUACAAUUAGUGGCGACCGGCGCACGGGUGCGUAACGCGUAUGCAACCUACCCGUCACAGGGGGAUAAUCCGGAGAAAUCUGGUCUAAUACCGCAUAACAUAUGGAUCGGCAUCGGUUCAUAUUGAAAUUUUCGGAGGUGACGGAUGGGCAUGCGUAGCAUUAGCUUGUUGGUGAGGUAACGGCUCACCAAGGCGACGAUGCUUAGGGGGACUGAGAGGUUUUCCCCCCACACUGGUACUGAGACACGGACCAGACUCCUACGGGAGGCAGCAGUGAGGAAUAUUGGUCAAUGGGCGCAAGCCUGAACCAGCCAUGCCGCGUGCAGGAUGACGGCUCUAUGAGUUGUAAACUGCUUUUGUACGAGGGUAAAGUGGGUUACGUGUACCUUUUGAAAGUAUCGUACGAAUAAGGAUCGGCUAACUCCGUGCCAGCCGCCGCAGUAA